GAUGAACGCUAGCGACAGGCUUAACACAUGCAAGUCGAGGGGCAGCAACACUUUCGGGUGGUUGGCGACCGGCGCACGGGUGAGUAACACGUAUGCAACCUACCUACUACUAGAGGAUAGCACGUUGAAAGACGGAUUAAUACUAUAUGACACAGGGGUGCCGCAUGGCAAUAUUUGUUAACGAUUUAUUGGUAGUAGAUGGGCAUGCGCAGGAUUAGCUAGUUGGUUAGGGUAACGGCUCACCAAGGCAACGAUCCUUAGGGGUUCUGAGAGGAAGGUCCCCCACACUGGUACUGAGACACGGACCAGACUCCUACGGGAGGCAGAAGUGAGGAAUAUUGGUCAAUGGACGAGAGUCUGAACCAGCCAAGUCGCGUGAAGGAAGACGGUAUUAUGUAUUGUAAACUUCUUUUAUAGGGGAAUAAAAUGCGGCACGUGUGCUGUUUUGUAUGUACCCUAUGAAUAAGCAUCGGCUAACUCCGUGCCAGCAGCCGCCGUAA
This 500-nucleotide ribosomal RNA is filed under the name uncultured bacterium. Its description in RNAcentral is "partial 16S ribosomal RNA". It matches the Rfam family "Bacterial small subunit ribosomal RNA", at positions 28 to 523 of the family's 1533-position model. The record is from RNAcentral.